CUAGUACUCCCUCCGUCCGAAAAUACUUGUCAUCAAAAUGGAUAAAAAGGGAUGUAUCUAGAACUAAAAUAUGCCUAGGUACAUCUCCUUUUAUCCAUUUUGAUGACAAGUAUUUCCGGACGGAGGGAGUAUAAU
Molecule: non-coding RNA, 135 nt
Organism: Triticum aestivum (bread wheat)
Lineage: Eukaryota; Viridiplantae; Streptophyta; Magnoliopsida; Poales; Poaceae
Source: Rfam